AGUAACACGUGGAUAACCUACCUAUAAGACUGGGAUAACUUCGGGAAACCGGAGCUAAUACCGGAUAAUAUUUUGAACCGCAUGGUUCAAAAGUGAAAGACGGUCUUGCUGUCACUUAUAGAUGGAUCCGCGCUGCAUUAGCUAGUUGGUAAGGUAACGGCUCACCAAGGCAACGAUGCAUAGCCGACCUGAGAGGGUGAUCGGCCACACUGGAACUGAGACACGGUCCAG
Molecule: ribosomal RNA, 231 nt
Filed under: uncultured Staphylococcus sp.
Lineage: Bacteria; Bacillati; Bacillota; Bacilli; Caryophanales; Staphylococcaceae
Description: partial 16S ribosomal RNA
Rfam family: Bacterial small subunit ribosomal RNA
Source: RNAcentral